CGCCAGGAGCAGCAGCAGCAGCAUCGGCAUCAGCCCCGGCGUCAGCGCAGUGUCCCUGGGCCCCGGAGGAGGAGGAGGAGGAGAGGAAGGAGGCGGCGGAGGCCGAGGCCCAGGAGGAAGCCGCCGCCGCUCCAGCAGAACCGGCGGCGGAGGGCGCUGCUCCCUCCCGCGGCGCUGAGCCGAGCGGAGCCCAGGGAGGCGGCGGCCCGGCGGCGGAGGCAGCAGCAGCGGCAGCAGCAGCAAAAGGACCCGCCGGAGAACAAGAAGAAGCCCCCGCCGCCGCCGCCUCCGCCUCCUCGAAGACCGUUGUCGCCUUCGCCGCGCUUCCCCCCGUCUUCGCCCAGCAGCAGCAGCAUGGUCCGGGAGACCAGGCACCUCUGGGUGGGCAACUUGCCGGAGAACGUCCGCGAGGAGAAGAUCAUCGAGCACUUCAAGCGAUAUGGACGAGUUGAAAGUGUCAAAAUCCUCCCCAAGAGGGGAUCGGAAGGCGGCGUGGCAGCCUUUGUGGAUUUUGUGGACAUCAAGAGUGCCCAGAAGGCACACAACUCUGUCAACAAAAUGGGCGAUAGAGACCUUCGGACGGAUUAUAAUGAGCCAGGAACCAUUCCUAGUGCUGCCCGUGGCUUGGAUGAUACAGUUUCCAUAGCGUCUCGUAGUAGAGAGGUUUCUGGGUUCAGAGGAGGUGGGGGUGGGCCCACGUAUGGCCCACCCCCAUCGCUUCAUGCACGGGAAGGACGUUAUGAACGGAGACUUGAUGGGGCUUCAGAUAACAGGGAGCGUGCUUAUGAACAUAGUGCCUAUGGACACCAUGAACGGGGGACAGGAGGAGGCUUUGAUCGGACAAGACAUUAUGAUCAGGAUUACUAUAGAGAUCCUCGGGAGCGGACUUUACAACAUGGACUUUACUACAGUUCUCGGAGCCGCAGCCCGAGCCGUUUUGACACUCAUGACCCCCGAUACGAACCUCGGGCUCGGGAGCAGUUUACCUUGCCCAGCGUGGUACAUAGGGAUAUCUACAGGGACGAUCUCACACGGGAGGUACGAGGGAGGAGGCCGGAGCGGAGUUACCAGCACAGCCGGAGUCGGUCGCCACACUCUUCCCAGUCUCGGACCCAGUCCCCUCAGAGGCUGGCUAGCCAGGCGUCGCGGCCGACCAGGUCGCCCAGUGGCAGUGGCUCAAGGAGCAGGUCUUCAAGCAGUGAUUCCAUCAGCAGCAGCAGCAGUACCAGCAGCGACAGCAGUGACUCCAGCAGCAGUUCCAGCGACGAGUCUCCAGCGCGAUCGGUGCAAUCCACGGCUGUCCCUGCGCCCACCUCCCAGUUGCUUCCAUCUCUGGAGAAGGAUGAACCCCGCAAAAGCUUUGGCAUUAAGGUUCAAAAUCUUCCAGUGCGCUCCACAGACACCAGCCUUAAAGAUGGAUUGUUCCAUGAGUUCAAGAAGUAUGGGAAGGUGACCUCUGUGCAGAUCCACGGGGCCUCCGAAGAGCGCUACGGGCUCGUCUUCUUCCGGCAGCAGGAGGACCAGGAGAAAGCACUGGGAGCCUCCAAAGGGAAACUCUUCUUUGGCAUGCAGAUCGAGGUGACAGCAUGGAUUGGGCCAGAAACAGAAAGUGAGAAUGAAUUUCGGCCUUUGGAUGAAAGGAUAGAUGAAUUCCACCCCAAAGCAACAAGAACUCUCUUCAUUGGUAAUCUGGAAAAAACCACCACCUAUCAUGACCUUCGCAAUAUUUUUCAGCGUUUUGGAGGGAUAGUGGAUAUCGACAUUAAGAAAGUGAACGGUGUUCCUCAGUAUGCAUUCCUCCAAUACUGCGAUAUUGCCAGCGUCUGCAAAGCUAUCAAGAAAAUGGAUGGGGAAUACCUGGGAAACAACCGGCUCAAGCUGGGCUUUGGGAAGAGCAUGCCGACCAACUGCGUGUGGUUGGAUGGCCUUUCGACCAACGUCACAGAUCAAUACCUAACGCGACACUUCUGCCGCUACGGCCCCGUGGUGAAGGUGGUGUUUGACCGCUUAAAAGGCAUGGCUCUCGUUCUCUACAAUGAGAUUGAAUAUGCGCAAGCAGCUGUAAAAGAGACCAAGGGGAGGAAGAUCGGUGGGAAUAAGAUUAAGGUCGAUUUUGCAAACCGUGAGAGCCAGUUGGCAUUCUAUCACUCCAUGGAGAAAACGGGUCAGGAUAUUAGAGACUUCUAUGAAAUGCUGGCAGAAAGAAGGGAGGAAAGAAGAGGAUCUUACGAAUAUGCUGCUGAUCGUACUUACUAUGAGGCUGUCCGAACCCCAGGGACCUAUCCCGAGGACCCCCGGAGAGAAUACCCAGCCCGCAGCAGGGAGUUUUACGCUGACUGGGAUCCUUAUCAGGGAGACUACUAUGACCCACGGUAUUACGAUGAUCCGCGGGAAUACAGAGAGUACAGGGGAGACCCUUAUGAGCAAGACAUAAGGGAGUACAGUUACAGGCAGCGGGAGCGGGAACGGUUUGAGUCGGACCGGGACCACGAAAGGAGGCCCAUUGAGAGGAGCCAAAGUCCUGCUCAUUCCCGGCGGCCACAGAGUCCCGGAGCAUCUCCGUCCCAGUCUGAGAGGCUGCAGAGCGAUUCUGAGAGGAGGAUCUACAGCCGGUCAUCUGAGCGGAGCGGCAGCUGCAGCUCACUUUCUCCACCACGCUAUGACAAGCUGGACAAAGCCCGCCUCGAGCGCUAUGCAAAAACAGAAAAAACAGAAAAAGAGCGGACCUUUGAGCAGGAGAGGCCUGACAAAGACAAGCGCCUGGUGAGGAAGGAGAAGCCAGAAAAACUGGACAAGGACAAAACAGAGAAGCAAAAGCGCAAGACAAAAAUUCACUCCCCAAGCUCACAGUCUUCUGAAACGGAGCAAGAAAAUGAACGAGAGCCAAGUCCUGAGAAAGUGAAAGGCGGAAGCAAAACGAGCCGGGAGAGAACUGACAAAGAAGGGACUGCUAAGAACCGCCUUGAACUGAUGCCCUGCGUGGUGUUGACACGAGUAAAAGAGAAGGAAGGGAAAGUAAUUGAACAACCUGCUUUGGAGAAGCUGAGGGGGAAGCAGGAGAACGAGACCAUGAAGCCUCCCUUGCUGGAACAAAAGGCCCAGGCUUCUCAGGUGGAUCAAAGCAAGUCAGAUCCACUGAAACUUGAGCCCAUCAGAACUAAAGUGUCAAAAGAGAAGGUGCUGGCCAGUCACAUCGAGGUGGUUGAUAAGGAUGGGAAGGUGAAACCCAAGAAGCACCUGAAGGCAGAUCAGUUGAGCGAAGUGGCAAAUCCAGUCGACCUAGAAAAGCUAGAGGCCCGCAAAAGACGCUUUGCUGACGCAAACCCAAAGCCCGAUAAGCAGAAACUGGAAAUCAAACGAAGUAAUCAAGAGGAGGAGGAAGGGCGCGUGAUUUUGAAGAAGCAGAUUGAUAUGACAGCUGAAUCUGAAAGGAAGCCCCCAAGGAAGGAGCAGCUUAAGAGGGAGUCUAAGAAAAUCAAGCUGGAAAGACUUUCCACCAUAGCCAGUCCCAAAGACACUCCAGAGCCACCAAGUGUUUCUGCUGGUUUGCGUCCCAGUUUGGAGUUGCAGGCUAGAUUGGGGGAGCCAGUCCAUGAGCCCCUGGAAGCACCUGAGGUCCCUCCUAGGAAGGCAAACUCAGUAAAACUGCAGCACAAACACACUCAGCUGCAGGACGACCAAGGAGCUGAGAGAGAGGAUGCCUGGAAAAACUACUGUGGUCUCUCGGAAGAGGCACCUGACCACAAACCUGCCCAGGACAAGCCCCUGUUGUCGGAUAUUGAGGAGAAAAUUCCCAUCGACAUCGAUCACACGCAGAGCUACCGGAAACAGAUGGAACUGAGCCGUAGGUUAAAGCAGCAAAUGGAGAUGGAAAUAGCAAAGCAUGAGAAGUUUGGCAGCCCAAAGAAAGACCUGGAUGAGUACGAAAGGCGUAGCCUGGUGCACGAGGUUGGGAAGCCCCCACAAGAUGUGACAGACGAUUCUCCUCCAAGUAAGCGGAAGAAGUCCUCAGACACUUUUGACUUUGAGAUUAGCACUAAGCGAGAGAGAAAUUACCGGAGCUCCCGCCAGGUGAGUGAGGACUCUGAACGGACCGCCUGUUCCCCCGGCCUCAGGCCCUUCCCGUUCCAUGAGGAGGACGAGGCGCUGGAUUCCCCACAGCUGAUGCUCAUAAAAGAAGCCAAAGAGUCGCCUAAAGUGGAGGACAAAGGCCCUGCCUAUUCCAGUGUGGCCAUACGGGAAGAUUCCUUGAAAUUCAAUCCCUAUGAUUCCAGUCGAAGAGAGCAGAUGGCAGAAAUGGCUAAAAUCAAGAUGUCUGUUCUAAGUUCUGAAGAGGAGACAAACCGCUGGGAAGCGCCAGUGAAGCAGGAGUCCAGCCGCGUGGACAUUAGCUUUCCAAGUAGCGUAGUCAAGAGAGACAGCAUACGGAAACGGUCCACACGGGAUCUGGAGCCAGGGGAGGUGCCUUCGGACUCAGACGACGAUGGCGACAGUAAACCCCAUUCUCCUAAAUCCUCUUCUUUACUGGAAAGUUCCAGGUUAUCUUUUUUAUUACGGGACAGGGAUGAAAAACUUCGUGAAAGAGAAGAGAGGUUGCCAACCUCCUUAGAAAGGAACAAGUUUUAUUCCUUUGCACUGGACAAGACAAUCACUCCCGACACCAAAGCCUUGCUGGAGAGAGCAAAGUCUCUCUCAUCAUCUAGAGAAGAGAACUGGUCUUUUCUAGAUUGGGACUCAAGAUUUGCUAAUUUUAGGAACAAUAAGGACAAAGAGAAAGUGGAUUCUGCACCAAGGCCCAUCCCUUCAUGGUAUAUGAAAAAGAAGAAAAUCAGAACAGAUUCUGAAGGAAAGCUGGAUGACAAGAAAGAAGACCACAAGGAAGAGGAGCAAGAGCGGCAGGAACUGUUUGCCUCGCGUUUUUUACACAGCUCAAUCUUUGAACAGGAUUCUAAGCGCCUGCAGCACUUGGAAAGGAAAGAUGAAGACCUCGACUUUCUCUCUGGCAGGUUGUAUGGUAGACAGGCAUCUUUCGAUGGUACUAACAGCAUUUCAGACUUUGUGCCGGAGCCAGUGGUUCUCUUUCAUAGUAGAUUUGUUGAGCUUACCCGGAUGCAGCAGAAGGAGAAGGAAAAAGACCAGAAGCCCAAAGAAGCAGAAAAGCAAGAAGAUGAGGAGAGUCAGCCCAAAACACCAGAAGCUGUACCUGAUAAUAAAGAACCAGAGUAUAAACCACCACUGUUAGUUGGGCCAUCGCCAGUUACGCCAGCACAGCAAGAACUAUUACUAGCCAUUCCAGAGAAGAUAGUGAUUGAGAAGCUGCCGGCCGAGGCGUCCUGUGCUUCAAAAGAGGAGAAAUUGCCUGAGGUUGGUCCUGUGGCUGAAGAGCUAAAGCUUCUUCCUGAACUCCUUGCUCCUGAUAAAACAGAAUCGCCUGAGCACACUGAAGCACCACCAGUCAUGGAGGGCAAUAAAGACACAGCUCUUUCCAUGGUAACCCCUGAGGAAGACUCCAUAUCUGUAGAGCACCCCUCAUAUUUGGAUACAAAGCCACCUACACCUGGGUCUUCUUUUUCCCAAACAGAUAUCGGCACAGAUCCAGAACCAGAAAUAGCACCACCACCCCCAAAAUUGGCCACAAAGACAGAGGAAUUGUCUGAACCUAAAGAAGAAAGUGUGUCCCUGUCCAUUAAUUCAGAGCCUGCUGCUCUGGGCCAGAAAGUGGAGGCUGCCAAUGAGGUUCUCCCUCCUGUUUCCGACACAGAGAUGGAAGCUGAGCCCCCUGUUGUUGUAAAAGACAAGAAGUCAUAUAAGAGCAAGCGCGCCAAAACCCCUGUCCAGUCUUCUGUUGCAAAUGUUGCAGAGAAACCCGUCACUAGAAAGAGCGAGAGGAUAGAUCGUGAAAAGCUUAAAAGAUCUGGCUCUCCCCGUGGGACUGAAGCACUGAAGGUGGAAACAGAGAAGGUUUUGAGAAAUGCUGCCAAAUCUCCAAGUGCUGCAGCAGAGCCUGAGACUCCAGAACCCAGUUUGCCCAUUGGCCGAACAAGGCGUAGGAAUGUACGGUCAGUUUAUGCAACCACCGGAGGAGACCAUGAAGGACCAUCACCAGUGAAAGAUUCUGUGGAGAUCACCAGAACAACCAGAAAAAGAGUGGAACGAGAGCCACCAGACCUCACCACCGUUCCUACACCUCCGAGAAGAGGCAGACCUCCAAAGGCACGUCGCAAACCUGAGGAGGAAAUAUCUCCUGUUAAAAUUGAACCAGUGCAGCAAGAGGCAGAAGAAACAGAAGCAAAGGAGACGGUGGAGACCCCUAAACCUGUGGAGGGCUGGAGAUCACCCAGGUCCCAGAAGCUAAUACACAGUCACCCUUCAUCCGCUGGUGGCCCACAAGGCAAGAAGGGGAAAAGUGAGCCCAAAGCAGAGAUGGGCACAGAGCCUGAAGAGCCUUCUGAAUCUCCCAGCCAAGGGCUGAGUGCCAGUGAGAACAGUAGUAAGCCCAAGGCAGACAAAGAGGUUUCUCUGACUGAGCAGAAACGAGACAAGAAAGAGAUCGAGAUAGACAAGAGUGCACCCGAGGCUUGUCCAGUUGAAAUUGUAGAACGAAGACCUGUUCCAGAAAAAGCUACCAAGUCCAAAAGAGGAAGAUCCAGGAGUGUGAAGGCUGUAGAUAAAGCAUCCUUGUUGAAGAGCCUGAAAAACAUUGAGAUCCGUCUGAAUGUAGAUGAAGUUAAAGGGGCUCUUCGGCCAAGUGAAGAGGAGAUGGAACCUGUAGCAGCUCCAUCACCCAAAAACAAAAGCCCUCUGAAGGAAGACAAACUGUCCCCACGCUUCAUAAAGAAUGAGGCAGAAGACCCCUUUCAGGAGGCAGCAGAAAAGGAAACGGCUUGUGAGUCCACGCCAUCUCCUGAAGCAGACCAGCUGGCCAAGCAGAUUGAACUGGAGCAGGCGGUGGAGAAUAUUGCCAAGCUCACCGAAGGCCCAGCCAUUCCAGCCUACAAGGAACCAGCUGCUGAGGUAUCAGAGGUUCGCCAAGAAGAAGACGGAGACAAACCUGCCCAUCAGGCUAGUGAGACAGAACUGGCUGCUGCCAUUGGAUCGAUCAUAAACGACAUUUCUGGAGAGACGGAAACCUUUCCUGCUCCCCCAACGUAUCCUGCUGAAUCGGAGUCUGAAAUGCCCACAGAACCGCUCACGUUGCCAUCUACGCGAGAAGAAGAGAUGGAGCCUGAAACCGACCAGGCGGUGAACAAUAUCUUGGAAUCUGAGGUAGCUUCCGUGGAGCCCCCUGUGCCAGCGGUUCCUGGAUCUGCCCCUGAGACAGAAAGCAAGGAAGCAGAAGUGAACUUCAGUGAAUCUUCCAAUUCAGCACAAGAAGCAGAAAUCCCCCAGGAAGCGGAAGUAUCUCGGAAGGAGCGUGGGCGGCAGAAGGCCGCACGGCCGAGGCGUAAGCGGAGCACAAGUAAGAAGGGGGAUGCCACAGAACUCAGGAGCACAAUGGAACCCGAAAGAGUACAGAGCAAAUCACCCAUUGCCAGUGAAUUUAAAGCAAAGUCAGAAGGGGCCGUGAAAGAGGAGAAUCAGGAAAAACACUCUCCUUCAGCAGACUCCCCGCCAGUUGUUCCUGACGCAAGCAAGCCUGCAGCCCAGGAGGUGACUUCUCAGGAAGUUCCAGUGGAGAGCAGCAGCCCCCUGCCAAAAGCUCCGGAUCCACUGAGUUUGCCAUCUCUGUCAGCCCCCGUGGAGGAGCAGGUGGACUUGAGUGGUGGGUUCAAGCUACGGCCUACAGCUGAAAACACCCCUGUGACUCCACCAAGUGCACCUCUGCCCACUGUUUCACCUUCAGGAGCCACAGUGAGGCUUGCUCCUCCCGUCACUUCUGGAGCAGCAAAGGUGACAGAAUGGAUUGUGAAGCACGAGGAUGCCCGGGUCCACUCCACCCCACCUCCUCCAGCUCUUCCCCCAGAUACAAAAGCGUCCGAUAUUGACACCAAUUCCAGCACGUUGCGGAAGAUCCUGAUGGAGCCCAAGUACGUUUCUCCAGCCAGCAUCGCCCCGACCCACGUCACAACAGCCAUACCUGAACCGGUGAGUGCUCCUCGUGUGGAGGAGGCUCCUCCCCAUCCUCCAGUGGAGGCUGUCAGGCCAGGGUCAGAGGAGAAGCCAUCUGUCCCCGUUGCCAAUGCUUUAGAGCCACCAGCUGCAGAGGCCCCAGUGUUCCCUGAGAAGGAGAAGAUUGUCACAGUUAUCGCCCCACAGGCCACCUCUGUCAUCAGCAGAAUGCCCCACAGCAUCGACCUUGAAGAAACCCCGAGAAUCACAUUGGUGAAGCAAGCCCAGCCCCAGACAUGCCUGGUCAGCACCCUUUCGCCGAAAUACAAGCAGCGGCCCAGUGCUAAUGACAACAGCCGCUUCCACCCCGGCUCCAUGUCUGUGAUUGAAGACCGGCCGGUGGAGACGCCGGGGUCCAGUCCGGGCCUCCGUGUCAACACCUCAGAAGGUGUUGUUCUCCUGAGCUACUCGGGGCAGAAGACAGAAGGCCCGCAAAGGAUCAGUGCAAAGAUCAGCCAGAUUCCCCCUGCUAGUGCAGUUGACAUUGAAUUCCAGCAGUCUGUUUCCAAGUCCCAGAUCAAGCAGGAGCCUCUGGGCCCUGCUCAGGCCAUCCCAAAAGGCUCUCAGGGGCCAGUGGGGUAUGGGGCGGUGCCCACCCCAUCUCUGACGCAGGGAACUCAGCAAUACAGCCCCUCCACAGUCCAGCUUUCCUCCAUCAAGCAAGAACGCAACAGCUUGGAGAAAUCUGAGCCGCCCCACCUUUCUGUUCAGGCACCCCCUUCUCAGUCUGGGCCGGUUAAGGUCCUCUCCCAGUCUGCCAACACUCUAUCCAUCCUGGUCCACAACCAGAUGUUCUCCCAGGGCAUGGGUUCUUCCAGCAACAAAAAGCUUCCAGACCCAGCCGCAUUGAAAGGGGAGACGAAGGCUCUUCAGUCCGCAAGCUUGAGUCCCAGCGUUGGCCCCCACCACCCUUCUUUGGCUGGCAGGAUCCACCCGGAGGCCAACCAUGUGAAUGUGGGAACUGGCACCCCAGCUGACCGGGUCGUCCCCCACCUGGGUGUCACCAAGCAGGAGCCACUCUCACCACGGACGAGCGGCCACUCUCCCUCCCCAUUCCCGAGGACUUGCCACCCCAGCGGCCCCUCUUCCCCGGCUCUGUCUGGGAACAGCUCCAUGCUGGGGAUCCAGGGAUCGCCCUGCCCAGGUAUCCCUGUCCCUCAGUACAUCUCCAGCAUGCAUCCAGAGCAGUCAGUGAUCAUGCCUCCGCACAGCGUCACCCAGACGGUCUCCCUGGGCCACCUCUCCCAAGGGGAGGUCCGCAUGAACACCCCUCCUCUGCCAAGCAUGCCCUAUGGCAUCCGCUCCGAGCUCCAUUCCCCUCGGGCCGCCUUGCAGCCACAGCAGCGCUCCAGCACACCACAACCGACCCCAAUUCGAGAGAUGGUCAUGCCCUCCCUGUCGUCCUCGGAGGAGGAGAUGCACUACCACCACACAGUCUGUCGUGGCUCGGCCCCUGUGCAGUCUGACGUCCUUGUCAUGCAGCCAGACUACCGCGUACACCCCACAGGCAUCCGAUACAAUGUGCCCCGUGACGUGAGGAUGAUAAUGCACCCCCACAUGGCGGCGGUGGGCGGGGACCACCACUCAGAGACCCGACAGGCCCGGACACCAGAAGGGCGGUCCGUCAAGACACCUCCCGCCACCAAGGCCCUCCAGCCCAGCAAGGAGGCACCCAAGGGUCCUGAAGUCAAGAUGGCCCACUCACCGCACGGGGAAGCCCGGCUCCUCAGUGGCCAGCUGCUGGGACUGCCUCUGGCACAGCCUGUCGUCGUCCCACACGGUGUCCAGAUCAUGCACCCCACUGGGAGCUCCUUCCAUGACUACCGGCCAGCCUACAGUGACAUGCAGAGCUACCACCCAGCUGCCCAACUUGGACACCCUCCGUUUUCUGGGGCAUCACCCAUUGGACUGCCUUCCCGGAGUAUGACCCCCUCUCAGGGUCUGCCAGAAGGAGAGCACUCGCACCCCAGCCAGCCAGCACACAGCAAGACCCCGCAGCUCUCCCAGGAGCCCAAAACAGCCCAGGCCCUCGGGCAGGAGUCAACGGCCCACCACCCUCCGGUCAACCGACAUGUCCAACCGAUGGAGCCCCACUUACACCUCUCGCGAGGCCAGGUGGAGACAGGGCAGAGCUCCUACCCUUCUCCCGUUGCCAUCCCUGUGAAGCAGGAGCUGCCCUCCCCACACCAGGCCCUGGCACAGAAGCAGGCCCUCUUCGUCCCCACCACCUCCGGUGCCUCCUUGGCACCCCCAGGGCUGCCCCUCUCCCGUCCGGAUUCCCAGUCGGUGCUCAAGCAAGAGUCCACUACUCACCCGGUCUCUCAGAGGCCAGUCGACAUGGUCCAGCUCCUGACUAAAUAUCCCAUUGUGUGGCAGGGGCUGCUAGCGCUGAAGAAUGACACAGCUGCUGUCCAGCUGCACUUUGUCUCCGGCAACAAUGUCCUGGCCCACCGCUCCUUGCCGGCGCCGGAAGGAGGCCCUCCACUAAGGAUCGCCCAGCGCAUGAGGCUGGAAGUAUCGCAGCUGGAGGGGGUGGCACGCCGCAUGAUGGUGGAGAGUGACUACUGCCUGCUUCUGGCCUUGCCAUGCGGCCGAGACCAAGAGGACGUUGUGAAUCAGACGGAGUCACUGAAGGCCGCCUUCAUCAGCUACCUGCAGGCCAAGCAGGCGGCUGGCAUCAUCAACGUCCCCAACCCAGGCUCCAACCAGCCUGCCUACGUCCUACAGAUCUUCCCGCCCUGUGAGUUCUCAGAGAACCACCUUUCCCGCCUGGCCCCGGACCUCCUGGCCAGCGUCUCGAACAUCUCCCCUCACCUGAUGAUUGUCAUCGCCUCGGUCUGAGCGGACGACGGACGGAUGGACAGACAGACAGACAGCUGGCUACCUGUGGGAUUCUUCUCUCGGCAAGGCCCCGCAGCAAAAACAAAGAGACAGGGAAGGACGGAGGAUGGGGCUCCCCUGGCCCCACUGGGAUCUCCCAGGGGCCUCGAUCCAACGCUGGCCGCCAGCUGAAGUGUGGGGCACUUUUGUUUUGAUGCAGCCAAGUUGCAUGGCACUGGAAUCUGGAAUCCCAUUUGGUUCAGUGCGGCAGGCAGAGGAUGCUGCUGUGUGUGUCAAGGCAGCGGAGGACCACCUACACUUUCCAUGAAAAGAAGGAAGCAAGAUGGUGGCGCUGCCAGGAGCCCAGCUGAGAUGCCUUUGUUAGCCAUCCAGCGCAUCUGUUCAGUGGCAGGAAGGAGUCGGUUGGACCUGGAUUGAUUCGUCUUGUUUCAGUGGGACUCUCUUAGUCUGGGCCUACUAGAAUGUGAUGUGAUGCACAUCUUUGAAAAUGGAGCUGUGUCAAUUGUGCAGAGACGACCGGUUGAGGCUGCGUCUACCACACCAGUCUGCAGGAACUUCCACCAGGUUCCAUUUCCAUGCCUCAUCUUUGCAGGAAAAAGGCUGACGUGUUCCUCCAGGUGCUUCGUUUCUGUUUCUUCUGCAAAUCCUUCAGUGGACCAAGGCAUGCCUACUAGAAUGGCAAAGGGCUCUGUACACUGGAGUUGGCAGGGGCAGAGCAUGCGCUGUCUACCCUACAAAACCCCAGGGCCUCAGACCCCAGAUCCUCCUCUUAGAGGAGGGAAAGGCCUCCUUCCUCCAGAGCGAACCAGGCGGGGCUGCCAAAACCCAGAUGGACGUUAUUUGGGGCAUGUGAGCAUGGGACUCUAGUUCCCAUCAGUUGCUCUUCUGGGAGAAAGCCAUGAUGGGAGUGGUAGGUGAAUAGCUGGGGAGGGAGGCCAGAGGGGCUGUGGCUGAUGUGAGGCAAUAAAGCACUUUCACAGCAGAAAAACCACCUUUCCCCAUCUGGACAGACCAACAGGGACGUCUUUUACAAUGGAAAACCCCUGGCCUGUACUGGAACCAGUGGCUGGGAUCCAAACUGGUGCAGAAACCUCCCUGGCCUAAACCUGGACUGAGCCCCCCACCCAGCAGCCUCUCCAAGUAGCUCCAGCCAAGAUGGAAGCAGAAGAUAACCCUGGCAGGCUGCUAAAGCUGCCAGCCCACGGACUUUAAUGGUAGCUUUCUCAUUCCAAGCUGUGUGAUGAACAAGCCUCUUUGUGCAGCAACUAAGAAAUGGGUUUUUCCUACUAGUUUCCUCUAAGGUCAUCUUCAGAUGUGCAGGUGGUCACAGCCACUGAGGAAAGGAAGACAUCCCAGAGCCUCCACAGAUACAGAUGCCGAUGGAAGGAUGCUGGGAUUUACUCGCAUCCUCGGCGGAGGCCCCCUUUCCCUCCACAACAGCUGCUCCUACUAACUCCAAAUGCCAAGCUGUGUUUCAAAGCCAUGGCUAGUCCCCUUCUCUUUGGAACAGGUAUUAGAAAAUAAGGGCU
RNA transcript from Sceloporus undulatus (fence lizard), 12479 nucleotides. It is a transcript of the gene named spen family transcriptional repressor, with no coding region annotated. The transcript is spliced from 16 exons. Lineage: Eukaryota; Metazoa; Chordata; Lepidosauria; Squamata; Phrynosomatidae. The record is from RefSeq and is a predicted model, not a curated record.